UGAGGAAUAUUGGACAAUGGGCGAAAGCCUGAUCCAGCCAUGCCGCGUGAGUGAUGAAGGCCUUAGGGUUGUAAAACUCUUUCGCCGGUGAAGAUAAUGACGGUAACCGGUAAAGAAGCCCCGGCUAAUUUCGUGCCAGCAGCCGCGGUAAUACGAAAGGGGCUAGCGUUGUUCGGAAUUACUGGGCGUAAAGCGCGCGUAGGCGGGCAAGCAAGUUGGGGGUGAAAUCCCGGGGCUCAACCCCGGAACUGCCUCCAAAACUGCUAGUCUAGAGGAUGUGAGAGGAUAGUGGAAUUCCGAGUGUAGAGGUGAAAUUCGUAGAUAUUCGGAAGAACACCAGUGGCGAAGGCGACUGUCUGGCACAUUUCUGACGCUGAGGUGCGAAAGCGUGGGGAGCAAACAGGAUUAGAUACCCGUGUAGUCC
RNAcentral lists this ribosomal RNA (424 nucleotides) under uncultured prokaryote. RNAcentral's name for it is "bacterial SSU rRNA". It matches the Rfam family "Bacterial small subunit ribosomal RNA", at positions 355 to 796 of the family's 1533-position model. The record is from RNAcentral.